AAUCACUAUAAUGAAGAGAACUGCAGGGCUAAUUCUUGUACCAGAAGACGGUGGGGAUGAAGAUGAAGGGGUUGAUUCUUUAUGGAAAGUAGUAGUAUAUGGAGACAUUGAAGAAGGAGAAAGAGGAGGCGGAUAUGUCAAAUAACCAUCUUUUUGCUUUAUUUGAUACUGAAUCCAUGACAUCUUCAAAUGGGUAUGCUCCAUGAGCCAUCUAUUCUCUCUGCUCUCUGACAUCCCACAGAUCAUAUGGCAACACCCAGAAACCGUAAA
Molecule: unclassified non-coding RNA, 270 nt
Filed under: Hevea brasiliensis (rubber tree)
Lineage: Eukaryota; Viridiplantae; Streptophyta; Magnoliopsida; Malpighiales; Euphorbiaceae
Source: RNAcentral